AAACAUGCAUUGGAAUAACAUAUUCUACCUUUUCUUCUUUUCUUAUGUAAUGCAAAGAGAAUAAUUGAGAACAGGUGAAGAAAAUAGACAGCUAUACUAAAGUGGAUUAGUUUCAUUACCCCAUCAGUAAAGAUGAUGAACACACACAAAAAUGAGAUCAGAAGUCUCUAGAUAUAUAUAUAUAUAUAUAUGAUAUAUAUGUGCUUUACUUUUCCUCUAAUUUCUCAUAUUUAAACUACUGAUCUCCCUUACCUUCUUCUUCAAUACAACUAGAAUCUUCCCUUUCAUAAAGUUUCUUCUGUUCACAUAUCUCUCUUUGAGAAUCCCAGAAACUAAUUAAUACCCCAUUGAAGAAACAAAGAUAAAGUAGAAAAAAAGGAAAAAAAGUACCGUAGUUUCUUGAGUUUUCUCAUCAAGUAUUGUGAUUUAAAUACCCUUGUUGUUCUUUCUCUUCUUCUUCGUCUUUUGGCUUGUUAGCUUCUGUUGGAUAGAAGAUAUGAGUGAUCCCAAAUAUGCGUAUCCCUACCCACCUCCUCAAGGAGGAUAUUAUCAAGGGCCACCAGUGAUGGCGCCACCUCAGUACGCCGCCCCACCGCCAAAACGACAACCGGGUUUCUUGGAGGGAUGCCUUGCAGCUCUAUGCUGCUGCUGUCUCCUUCAUGAAUGCUGCUGUGACCCUUCCAUUAUCUUUCUUACUUGAUGCUAUGAGAGAUUUCUUCAUUGCCUUUGUAGCUGUAAAUUGCCUGAUCUCUUUUCUCUUUUCUUUUCUUCUUUUGUGAUUGUGGUUUGAUUUUGUGUAAACUUGGGAAAGAACAUUGAUUGGUGUGUAGAAUAAAAGCUUGCUUUGUUGUAAAGUAUAGUGUUUAUAUACUCAUUUGAUAAUAAAUUUACUGAUCAUUACCUAGCAAA
Molecule: long non-coding RNA, 909 nt
Organism: Cucumis melo (muskmelon)
Lineage: Eukaryota; Viridiplantae; Streptophyta; Magnoliopsida; Cucurbitales; Cucurbitaceae
Exons: 3
Source: RefSeq, a predicted model, not a curated record